UACGAAGGGGGCUAGCGUUGCUCGGAAUCACUGGGCGUAAAGGGUGCGUAGGCGGGUCUUUAAGUCAGGGGUGAAAUCCUGGAGCUCAACUCCAGAACUGCCUUUGAUACUGAAGAUCUUGAGUUCGGGAGAGGUGAGUGGAACUGCGAGUGUAGAGGUGAAAUUCGUAGAUAUUCGCAAGAACACCAGUGGCGAAGGCGGCUCACUGGCCCGAUACUGACGCUGAGGCACGAAAACGUGGGGAGCAAACAGG
RNAcentral lists this ribosomal RNA (253 nucleotides) under uncultured bacterium. Its description in RNAcentral is "partial 16S ribosomal RNA". It matches the Rfam family "Bacterial small subunit ribosomal RNA", at positions 524 to 776 of the family's 1533-position model. The record is from RNAcentral.